Molecule: ribosomal RNA, 390 nt
Filed under: uncultured bacterium
Lineage: Bacteria
Description: bacterial SSU rRNA
Rfam family: Bacterial small subunit ribosomal RNA
Source: RNAcentral
GACGAACGCUGGCGGCGUGCUUAACACAUGCAAGUCGAGCGGUAAGGCCCUUUCGGGGGUACACGAGCGGCGAACGGGUGAGUAACACGUGGGUGACCUGCCCUCAGCUCUGGGAUAAGCCUGGGAAACUGGGUCUAAUACUGGAUAUGACUCCACGGUGCAUGUCGUGGGGUGGAAAGCCUUGUGCGACUGAGGAUGGGCCCGCGGCCUAUCAGCUUGUUGGUGGGGUGANGGCCUACCAAGGCGACGACGGGUAGCCGGCCUGAGAGGGCGACCGGCCACACUGGGACUGAGACACGGCCCAGACUCCUACGGGAGGCAGCAGUGGGGAAUCUUGCGCAAUGGGCGAAAGCCUGACGCAGCGACGCCGCGUGAGGGAUGACGGCCUGG